RNAcentral lists this ribosomal RNA (461 nucleotides) under uncultured Thiobacillus sp. RNAcentral describes it as "bacterial SSU rRNA". It matches the Rfam family "Bacterial small subunit ribosomal RNA", at positions 917 to 1381 of the family's 1533-position model. Lineage: Bacteria; Pseudomonadati; Pseudomonadota; Betaproteobacteria; Nitrosomonadales; Thiobacillaceae. The record is from RNAcentral.
GACGGGACCGCACAAGCGGUGGAUGAUGUGGUUAAUUCGAUGCAACGCGAAAACCUUACCCACCUUGACAUGUACGGAAUCCUUAGAGAUAGAGGAGUGCUCGAAAGAGAGCCGUAACACAGGUGCUGCAUGGCUGUCGUCAGCUCGUGUCGUGAGAUGUUGGGUUAAGUCCCGCAACGAGCGCAACCCUUGCCAUUAGUUGCUACGAAAGGGCACUCUAAUGGGACUGCCGGUGACAAACCGGAGGAAGGUGGGGAUGACGUCAAGUCCUCAUGGCCCUUAUGGGUAGGGCUUCACACGUCAUACAAUGGUCGGUACAGAGGGUUGCCAAGCCGCGAGGCGGAGCCAAUCCCACAAAGCCGAUCGUAGUCCGGAUUGUUCUCUGCAACUCGAGAGCAUGAAGUCGGAAUCGCUAGUAAUCGCAGGUCAGCAUACUGCGGUCGAAUACGUUCCCGGGCCUU